AUAAUAAGCAUUAUCCCACAGUUCUGCCUUUUAAUGUGGCAUAGCCAUAUUUGCUUAUAAUUUUUAUUCUACACAUAUCACUGCUUCUCAGUGUGUACAUACUGGGGAAGGGGGUCAUUUUGACCCAGAAGGAUUUUUGAAUCAUCAAAUAUUUUCAAAUCGAAGGUUUUUCUAGUCUAGCUUCAUUCAGAUGAGCGUUGUGCAUCGAAGUUCAAGUCCCAAGAGAUGUUAUCAGUCGGAACGGCCGAGUGAACAAAUAUUUGUGAACCUCCUUCCAAAUGAAAUGUUCUAUAGAAGGGUGGAAGUGGUAAGAGACCGUUGAAACAGUGGUUAAGAAGGUUAUAUUUAUUUGGCCAUCAGCUCGUCUCAUGGUCUGAAGGAUGAUGAUGAUGAGGAAGAGGAGGAAGAAGAGAAGAUGAGGAACUUUUCCAAAAUAGGCAGUUUAACUCAUAAUAGACCCAAUUUCUAAAUACGAGGUUGGACUACGUCAUCUCUAAACGCAACCACUGGUCUGAAAAUAUGAGCUGUGUCAUAGAUACGGAGAACAAACAGGUGGUUGCCAAAGGAUGGGGGGAUUGGGCAAAAGAGGUGAAGGGGAUUCAGGGCCCCAAACUUCCAGUUAUAACAUAAAAAAGUCACAGAGAUAUAAUGUAAAGUCAGGGGGAAAUACAGUCAAUAUUGCAAUAACUGUGUAUGGUGGCCAAUGGUCCCCAGAUUUACAAGUGUGGGAAUCAACUCGGGUAAUGUACACAAAUGUCAAAUCACUAUACUGUACUCAAAACUCAUGUAAGCCACUACAUUCGUGGUAAACCACUAGUGUAAAACUAGUGCACACCACCACUACACUGCCGUAGUGGUUGAGUUUCAAUAAAAGUUAUGUGCAUCAACUCUAUUUCAACAAAAAAUUAAAAGUAACAAAACAAGGUAACAUUAUGAGAUUCGUUACACCUGGGCUUUAAUUUCCAAUUUUGGUUUAAUAUGUAUGACCUAACUUUAAAAAUCAGUUUACAGACAGACUAUCCUAAGGGCAAACAGUCCAACAAGACUUGCUCCAAUUCAAAGAAAAUCUUGAUAAGCAUUUUUUUUUCCUUUGUGGUUAUUAUAAAGUAUUUAAGUUCAAUUUUUAAAAAAUCCACUAUAUUUGAUUGUCAUUAUUUGAGUCAACAUGUUUCAAGUUAUGUUUCAGAGCACGGUUAGUUGAAACAGCCCAGAUCUUACUCAUCAAAAGACUUGGAAUAUUCACAGAAACUCUGUCACUCAUUAUUUCUCAGAGUUUAAAGAAGUUUAUGAACAUCACUGAGAAUCUGUCUUUUCAGUUUUGAAAGGGAAGUUAUAAUACUGACUUUGAAGUAUCUUGGCCAGUGAAAAAAACGCUACACAUAUAAGUUAUCAAGUGAAAUUAAAAGCUAAAGAAAUAAUAGCUACUAUAAAUAAAAACAUUCACAUUUGUUUAUCUGUGCUCAUUUGUCUUAAUGUUACCAAAAUUUAUUUUUAAAUGUUUUAUUUUAAGAUGUUAUGUUCCUACAUUCCUAAAUCUAUCUCCAUUUUACAUUUUGUUAGGGCUUGCAUGCUAUUUCUUUUUUUUUUUUAAUUAAAGUAUAGUUGAUUGAC
This 1611-nucleotide long non-coding RNA is filed under the name Sus scrofa (pig). RNAcentral describes it as "lncRNA (ENSSSCG00050051104.1)". The record is from RNAcentral. Lineage: Eukaryota; Metazoa; Chordata; Mammalia; Artiodactyla; Suidae.